Molecule: ribosomal RNA, 253 nt
Filed under: uncultured bacterium
Lineage: Bacteria
Description: partial 16S ribosomal RNA
Rfam family: Bacterial small subunit ribosomal RNA
Source: RNAcentral
UACGUAGGGUGCAAGCGUUAAUCGGAAUUACUGGGCGUAAAGCGUGCGCAGGCGGCUUUGCAAGACAGAUGUGAAAUCCCCGGGCUUAACCUGGGAACUGCAUUUGUGACUGCAUGGCUGGAGUGCGGCAGAGGGGGAUGGAAUUCCGCGUGUAGCAGUGAAAUGCGUAGAUAUGUGGAGGAACACCGAUGGCGAAGGCAGCCCCCUGGGAUAACACUGACGCUCAUGCACGAAAGCGUGGGGAGCAAACAGG